This is a non-coding RNA of Methanopyrus kandleri AV19, 358 nucleotides long. The record is from Rfam. NCBI's taxonomy places the organism in Archaea, Methanobacteriati, Methanobacteriota, Methanopyri, Methanopyrales, Methanopyraceae.
GGCCGUGGGGCCGCUAAGGGGAGGAAGCUCCGCCCCCGGGCCCGGGCCCGCCGCCCCGAGAGGGGGCCGGCCGAGAGGCCGGGGACCGGCCACAGAAACGACACGUCCGUCGGCGGAUGGCGAUGACGCGGCUGAGGCCCGCCGUGGGCGGGCCGAGAAGGGCCCCGGCGACGGGGCCCGAGCUAACCCGCAGAGGACGCCGGCGGGAUCGGUGAAACGGGCCGCCCGGCGGGGGGCGAGGCCGAAUGAGCCCGAUGAUACGAGGGUGAUGCCCCCGAUGAGUUCCCGGGCCGGAGGGGGAUGGUAGGCCGCUGAGGUGAAUGCCGCCGUCUAAGGCUACAGAAGGCGGGCUAUAGCC